Apus apus (common swift) is the source of this 167-nucleotide long non-coding RNA. RefSeq lists it as uncharacterized. NCBI's taxonomy places the organism in Eukaryota, Metazoa, Chordata, Aves, Apodiformes, Apodidae. The record is from RefSeq and is a predicted model, not a curated record. The transcript has 3 exons.
UCCUGAAGCACCACCCCAUGGUCACAUCGCACCAGUGCAAGAGUGGUACCUUCUGGGCGACCGCGGUGCUGUCCCGUCGGUAAAUAUAUAUGCAGUGAUGCUGGAUACUGGAAAAACCCCAGAGGAGCAAGAACCCCUCCUAUCUGUGAACCAGACAGCAAGGCAAG